Molecule: ribosomal RNA, 164 nt
Filed under: uncultured bacterium
Lineage: Bacteria
Description: partial 16S rRNA
Rfam family: Bacterial small subunit ribosomal RNA
Source: RNAcentral
UAGGGAAUCUUCCACAAUGGACGAAAGUCUGAUGGAGCAGCGCCGCGUGAGUGAAGAAGGGUUUCGGCUCGUAAAACUCUGUUGUUAAAGAAGAACAUAUCUGAGAGUAACUGUUCAGGUAUUGACGGUAUUUAACCAGAAAGCCACGGCUAACUACGUGCCCG